RNAcentral lists this ribosomal RNA (117 nucleotides) under Sinocyclocheilus grahami. Lineage: Eukaryota; Metazoa; Chordata; Actinopteri; Cypriniformes; Cyprinidae. The record is from RNAcentral.
UGCCACAGCCAUAUCACCCUGCAGCCCAAGACUGGUUGCCCACUGAAGCUAAGCAGGGUUGAGCCUGGUCAGUACCUGGAUGGGAGACCUCCUGGGAAAAUUAGGUUGCUGUUGGAA